UACGUAGGGGGCUAGCGUUGUCCGGAAUCAUUGGGCGUAAAGAGCGUGUAGGCGGCCCGGUAAGUCCGCUGUGAAAGUCGGGGGCUCAACCCUCGAAUGCCGGUGGAUACUGUCGGGCUAGAGUGCGGAGGAGGCGAGUGGAAUUCCUGGUGUAGCGGUGAAAUGCGCAGAUAUCAGGAAGAACACCCGUGGCGAAAGCGGCUCUCUGGAACGGUACUGACGCUGAGACGCGAAAGCGUGGGGAGCGAACAGG
RNAcentral lists this ribosomal RNA (253 nucleotides) under uncultured bacterium. RNAcentral describes it as "partial 16S ribosomal RNA". It matches the Rfam family "Bacterial small subunit ribosomal RNA", at positions 524 to 776 of the family's 1533-position model. The record is from RNAcentral.